UGCCGAGUGGUGCAACGGUAGCACAGUGGACUUUGGAUCCUCUGAUUCUGGUUCGAAUCCAGGCUCGGCAGCCA
Molecule: transfer RNA, 74 nt
Filed under: Chloroflexota bacterium
Lineage: Bacteria; Bacillati; Chloroflexota
Description: Chloroflexi bacterium tRNA-Gln
Rfam family: tRNA
About the family: Transfer RNA (tRNA) molecules are approximately 80 nucleotides in length. Their secondary structure includes four short double-helical elements and three loops (D, anti-codon, and T loops).
Source: RNAcentral